RNAcentral lists this ribosomal RNA (468 nucleotides) under uncultured bacterium. Its description in RNAcentral is "partial 16S ribosomal RNA". It matches the Rfam family "Bacterial small subunit ribosomal RNA", at positions 28 to 507 of the family's 1533-position model. The record is from RNAcentral.
GACGAACGCUGGCGGCGUGCUUAACACAUGCAAGUCGAACGGAAAGGCCCUGCUUUUGUGGGGUUCUCGAGUGGCGAACGGGUGAGUAACACGUGAGUAACCUGCCCUUGACUUUGGGAUAACCUCAGGAAACUGGGGCUAAUACCGUAUAGGAUCUCCUGCUGCAUUGUGGGGGUUGGAAAGUUUCGGCGGUUGGGGAUGGACUCGCGGCUGAUCAGCUUGUUGGUUGGGUAGUGGCUUACCAAGGCUUUGAAGGGUAGCCGGCCUGAGAGGGUGACCGGCGACAUUGGGACUGAGAUACGGCGCAGACUCCUACGGGAGGCAGCAGUGGGGAAUAUUGCACAAUGGGCGGAAGCCUGAUGAAGAAACGCCGCGUGCGGGAUGACGGCCUUCGGGUUGUAAACCGCUUUAGCCUGUGACGAAGCGUGAGUGACGGUAAUGGGUAAAGAAGCACCGGCUAACUACGUG